UUGGUAGAAAAGGAAAGAGAUUCCUU
Molecule: non-coding RNA, 26 nt
Filed under: Rattus norvegicus (Norway rat)
Lineage: Eukaryota; Metazoa; Chordata; Mammalia; Rodentia; Muridae
Source: RNAcentral